CUUCUCUGGAUGAGUUGCGAACGGGUGAGUAACGCGUAGGUAACCUGCCUGGUAGCGGGGGAUAACUAUUGGAAACGAUAGCUAAUACCGCAUAAGAGUAGAUGUUGCAUGACAUUUACUUAAAAGGUGCAAUUGCAUCACUACCAGAUGGACCUGCGUUGUAUUAGCUAGUUGGUGGGGUAACGGCUCACCAAGGCGACGAUACAUAGCCGACCUGAGAGGGUGAUCGGCCACACUGGGACUGAGACACGGCCCAGACUCCUACGGGAGGCAGCAGUAGGGAAUCUUCGGCAAUGGACGGAAGUCUGACCGAGCAACGCCGCGUGAGUGAAGAAGGUUUUCGGAUCGUAAAGCUCUGUUGUAAGAGAAGAACGAGUGUGAGAGUGGAAAGUUCACACUGUGACGGUAUCUUACCAGAAAGGGACGGCUAACUACGUGCCAGCAGCCGCGGUAAUACGUAGGUCCCGAGCGUUGUCCGGAUUUAUUGGGCGUAAAGCGAGCGCAGGCGGUUAGAUAAGUCUGAAGUUAAAGGCUGUGGCUUAACCAUAGUACGCUUUGGAAACUGUUUAACUUGAGUGCAAGAGGGGAGAGUGGAAUUCCAUGUGUAGCGGUGAAAUGCGUAGAUAUAUGGAGGAACACCGGUGGCGAAAGCGGCUCUC
This 659-nucleotide ribosomal RNA is filed under the name uncultured Bacilli bacterium. Its description in RNAcentral is "bacterial SSU rRNA". It matches the Rfam family "Bacterial small subunit ribosomal RNA", at positions 82 to 729 of the family's 1533-position model. The record is from RNAcentral. Lineage: Bacteria; Bacillati; Bacillota; Bacilli.